RNAcentral lists this ribosomal RNA (556 nucleotides) under Euphlyctis cyanophlyctis (skittering frog). Its description in RNAcentral is "partial 16S ribosomal RNA". It matches the Rfam family "Bacterial large subunit ribosomal RNA", at positions 1917 to 2650 of the family's 2925-position model. Lineage: Eukaryota; Metazoa; Chordata; Amphibia; Anura; Dicroglossidae. The record is from RNAcentral.
AUAUAAUUUAACGGCCGCGGUAUACUGACCGUGCGAAGGUAGCAUAAUCACUUGUUCUUUAAAUGGGGACUAGUAUGAAUGGCACCACGAGGGCUUUACUGUCUCCUUUCUUCAAUCAGUGAAACUGACCUCCCUGUGAAGAGGCAGGGAUACUACUAUAAGACGAGAAGACCCCAUGGAGCUUUAAACCCAACAACAGCCCAAACACCUACCCCCUCAAAGUUUUUAAAGUUUUGUUAGUUGGUUUUAGGUUGGGGUGACCGCGGAGUACAAACCACCCUCCACGACGAAUGGGCCUACCCCCUUACCCAAGAAUUACACCUCUAAGGAUUAACACAUUAACGUAAAAUGAUCCAAAUAUUUGAUCAACGAACCAAGUUACCCUGGGGAUAACAGCGCAAUCCAUUUUUAGAGCCCCUAUCGACAAAUGGGUUUACGACCUCGAUGUUGGAUCAGGGUAUCCCGGAGGUGCAGCCGCUUCCAAUGGUUUGUUUGUUCAACAAUUAAAACCCUACGUGAUCUGAGUUCAGACAGGAUCGUCGUCUGUUUUUAAAAA